AAAAAGUUGUCAUCCUUUCAUCCUUUUUUCUUCUUCCAUCGAAAAUGGCAGCAAGGAGGGGGCUUGGAAAGCUCAAAAUAUCAGCCACUUAUAUUCUUUGCAAGUAAACCCCAACCAUAAUGGGCUUGGAGCUGUGAGGGAAUUCGGAGUGGCCACACGUUCUACAAAUUCCUGUUUUCUUCUGUGUUUUCAGGUUAGCUCGGAGUUGGAGAUCGUCGGAGGCAGCAUCACACUAUCAAGUCACUACCUUUGGAAUAAUGAAGUAUAUAUUAGAAUUUUCAAGUAAGUGGCAUGUAUAGAGAUCUAGUUGAUUGACAUAUAUUAUUUUGCUUUGGCCAAAUGUGUUGGCUUAAAUUGAGUUAUAUGUAUAUGGCCAUGAGAUGUGGCUCAUAUUGAUCUUGUAAGCCUAGCUAUUUAUGUUAUGUCUAAUGUUUAUAAUGUGAUUAUGUUUGUUUGCCA
This is a long non-coding RNA of Gossypium arboreum, 459 nucleotides long. RefSeq lists it as uncharacterized. The record is from RefSeq and is a predicted model, not a curated record. Lineage: Eukaryota; Viridiplantae; Streptophyta; Magnoliopsida; Malvales; Malvaceae. The transcript is spliced from 3 exons.